GAUGAACGCUGGCGGCGUGCCUAAUACAUGCAAGUCGAGCGAACGGACGAGAAGCUUGCUUUUCUGAUGUUAGCGGCGGACGGGUGAGUAACACGUGGAUAACCUACCUAUAAGACUGGGAUAACUUCGGGAAACCGGAGCUAAUACCGGAUAAUAUUUUGAACCGCAUGGUUCAAAAGUGAAAGACGGUCUUGCUGUCACUUAUAGAUGGAUCCGCGCUGCAUUAGCUAGUUGGUAAGGUAACGGCUUACCAAGGCAACGAUGCAUAGCCGACCUGAGAGGGUGAUAGGCCACACUGGAACUGAGACACGGUCCAGACUCCUACGGGAGGCAGCAGUAGGGAAUCUUCCGCAAAGGGCGAAAGCAUGACGGAGCAACGCCGCGUGAGUGAUGAAGGUCUUCGGAUCGUAAAACUCUGUUAUUAGGGAAGAACAUAUGUGUAAGUAACUGUGCACAUCUUGACGGUACCUAGUCAGAAAGCCACGGCUAACUACGUG
RNAcentral lists this ribosomal RNA (497 nucleotides) under uncultured bacterium. RNAcentral's name for it is "partial 16S ribosomal RNA". It matches the Rfam family "Bacterial small subunit ribosomal RNA", at positions 28 to 507 of the family's 1533-position model. The record is from RNAcentral.